This 1473-nucleotide ribosomal RNA is filed under the name uncultured prokaryote. RNAcentral's name for it is "partial 16S ribosomal RNA". It matches the Rfam family "Bacterial small subunit ribosomal RNA". The record is from RNAcentral.
AGAGUUUGUUUUUGGCUCGAUUGAACGCUGGCGGCAUGGCUAAAACAUGCAAGUCGAACGAUCCCUUCGGGGAGAGUGGCGAAAGGGCGAGGAAUACGAUCGAACGUGCCCCGAGGUGGGGGAUAGCUUAUGGAAACGUAAGGUAAUACCCCGUAAUCUCUUCGGAGAAAAGGUUUACCGCCUUGGGAGCGGCGAUACUCCUAUCAGGUAGUUGGUGGGGUAAAGGCCUACCAAGCCAAUGACGGGUAGCGGGUGUGAGAGCAUGACCCGCCGCAUCGGGACUGAGACACUGCCCGGACUCCUACGGGAGGCUGCAGUAACGAAUAUUCCGCAAUGCGCGAAAGCGUGACGGAGCAAUGCCGCGUGUGGGAUGAAGCGCCUUCGGUGUGUAAACCACUGUCAGGGUUUAGGAACACUGACCAGACCCAAAGGAAGGGCCGGCUAAUUCCGUGCCAGCAGCCGCGGUAAUACGGAAGGCCCGAGCGUUAAUCGGAAUCACUGGGCUUAAAGGGUGCGCAGGCGGACCCGUAGGUGUCUUGUGAAAGCCCCCGGCUCAACCGGGGACGUGCAGGGCAAACCACGGGUCUUGAGGCAGGUAGGGGCCAACGGAACUAUCGGUGGAGCGGUGAAAUGCGUAGAUAUCGAUGGGAACGCCAGUGGCGAAGGCGGUUGGCUGGGCCUGACCUGACGCUGAGGCACGAAAGCGUGGGGAGCGAACAGGAUUAGAUACCCUGGUAGUCCACGCCGUAAACGAUGUGCACUAGGUCGCGGCUGCUCUGACGUAGUCGCGGCCGAAGCAAAAGUGUUAAGUGUGCCGCCUGGGGAGUACGGUCGCAAGGCUAAAACUCAAAGGAAUUGACGGGGGCUCACACAAGCGGUGGAGCAUGUUGCUUAAUUCGAGGCAACGCGAAGAACCUUACCUGGUCUUGACAUGUACGGAUUAACUCCUGGAAACACGAGCCAGCCCUUUGGGUGGAACGUACACAGGUGCUGCAUGGCUGUCGUCAGCUCGUGCUGUGAAGUGUCGGGUUAAGUCCCUUAACGAGCGCAACCCCUAUCGUUAGUUACUAACACGUUAUGGUGAGGACUCUAACGAGACUGCCGGUGUCAAACCGGAGGAAGGUGGGGAUGACGUCAAGUCCUCAUGGCCCUUACGACCAGGGCUGCAAACGUGCUACAAUGGUAUGACAGAGCGAUGCAAGACCGCGAGGUGGAGCAAAUCGCACAAACCAUGCCCCAGUUCGGAUAGCAGGCUGAAAUUCGCCUUCUUGAAGCCGGAAUCGCUAGUAAUCGCGUAUCAGCUACGACGCGGUGAAUACGUUCCUGAGCCUUGUACACACCGCCCGUCACGUCAUGGAAGCUGCUAGUGCCCGAAGUCACCUCGAUUCAGGGGUGCCUACGGCAAGAGUGGUGACUGGGACGAAGUCGUAACAAGGUAGCCGUAGGAGAACCUGCGGCUGGAUCACCUCCUUU